GUGCCAGCCGCCGCGGUAAUACGUAGGGGGCGAGCGUUGUCCGGAUUUACUGGGCGUAAAGAGCGCGUAGGCGGAAGCUUAAGUGUGGCCUGAAAGACCCCGGCUCAACCGGGGAGUGGGGCUGCAAACUGGGUUUCUUGAGGGGGAUAGAGGAGAGUGGAAUUCCUGGUGUAGCGGUGAAAUGCGUAGAGAUCAGGAGGAACACCCGUGGCGAAGGCGGCUCUCUGGGUCCGCCCUGACGCUGAGGCGCGAAAGCGUGGGGAGCGAACGGGAUUAGAUACCCGGGUAGUCC
RNAcentral lists this ribosomal RNA (292 nucleotides) under uncultured bacterium. RNAcentral describes it as "partial 16S ribosomal RNA". It matches the Rfam family "Bacterial small subunit ribosomal RNA", at positions 505 to 796 of the family's 1533-position model. The record is from RNAcentral.